AAAUUGAAGAGUUCGAUCCUGGCGCAGAUUGAACGCUGGCGGCAGGCCUAACACAUGCAAGUGGCACG
This 68-nucleotide ribosomal RNA is filed under the name Escherichia coli. RNAcentral's name for it is "partial 16S ribosomal RNA". Lineage: Bacteria; Pseudomonadati; Pseudomonadota; Gammaproteobacteria; Enterobacterales; Enterobacteriaceae. The record is from RNAcentral.